GUCAAGAUGGCCGAGCGGUCGAAGGCGCUGUGUUCAAGCCACAGUAUCGAAAGAUUCUUGGGUUCGAAUCCCAAUCUUGACA
This 82-nucleotide transfer RNA is filed under the name Fusarium vanettenii 77-13-4. RNAcentral's name for it is "tRNA-Leu (CAA) (tRNA-Leu-CAA-2-1)". It matches the Rfam family "tRNA". Rfam says of the family: Transfer RNA (tRNA) molecules are approximately 80 nucleotides in length. Their secondary structure includes four short double-helical elements and three loops (D, anti-codon, and T loops). The record is from RNAcentral. Lineage: Eukaryota; Fungi; Ascomycota; Sordariomycetes; Hypocreales; Nectriaceae.